This 320-nucleotide ribosomal RNA is filed under the name uncultured eukaryote. RNAcentral describes it as "partial 18S ribosomal RNA". It matches the Rfam family "Eukaryotic small subunit ribosomal RNA", at positions 1470 to 1796 of the family's 1831-position model. The record is from RNAcentral.
CCCUUAGAUGUUCUGGGCUGCACGCGCGCUACACUGACGCACCCAGCGAGUCUCCUGCCCUGACAGGGUUGGGUAAUCAUUGGAGUGUGUGUCGUGAUGGGGAUAGAGUAUUGCAAUUAUUGCUCUCGAACGAGGAAUUCCUAGUAAGCACAAGUCAGCAGCUUGUGCUGAUUACGUCCCUGCCCUUUGUACACACCGCCCGUCGCUCCUACCGAGGGGGUGAUCCGGUGAAUGAUUCGGACUUUGGCGUUUCUAGCUGCUAGCAGCGCUGAAGAAAGUUUUGUGAACCUUAUCACUUGGAGGAAGGAGAAGUCGUAACA